RNAcentral lists this ribosomal RNA (513 nucleotides) under swine fecal bacterium FPC72. RNAcentral describes it as "bacterial SSU rRNA". It matches the Rfam family "Bacterial small subunit ribosomal RNA", at positions 7 to 502 of the family's 1533-position model. The record is from RNAcentral.
GAGAGUUUGAUUCUGGCUCAGGACGAACGCUGGCGGCGUGCCUAAUACAUGCAAGUAGAACGCUGAAGAAAGGAGCUUGCUUCUUUUGGAUGAGUUGCGAACGGGUGAGUAACGCGUAGGUAACCUGCCUUGUAGCGGGGGAUAACUAUUGGAAACGAUAGCUAAUACCGCAUAACAGCUUUUGACACAUGUUAGAAGCUUGAAAGAUGCAAUUGCAUCACUACGAGAUGGACCUGCGUUGUAUUAGCUAGUAGGUAGGGUAACGGCCUACCUAGGCGACGAUACAUAGCCGACCUGAGAGGGUGAUCGGCCACACUGGGACUGAGACACGGCCCAGACUCCUACGGGAGGCAGCAGUAGGGAAUCUUCGGCAAUGGGGGCAACCCUGACCGAGCAACGCCGCGUGAGUGAAGAAGGUUUUCGGAUCGUAAAGCUCUGUUGUAAGAGAAGAACGUGUGUGAGAGUGGAAAGUUCACACAGUGACGGUAACUUACCAGAAAGGGACGGCUAACU